UACGUAGGGCGCAAGCGUUGUCCGGAAUUAUUGGGCGUAAAGAGCUCGUAGGCGGUUUGUUGCGUCGGCUGUGAAAUCCCGAGGCUCAACCUCGGGUCUGCAGUCGAUACGAGCAAACUAGAGUGUUGCAGGGGAGACUGGAAUUCCUGGUGUAGCGGUGAAAUGCGCAGAUAUCAGGAGGAAGACCAGUGGCGAAGGCGGGUCUCUGGACAGUUCCUGACACUGAGACACGAAGGCCAGGGGAGCAAACGGG
RNAcentral lists this ribosomal RNA (253 nucleotides) under uncultured bacterium. RNAcentral describes it as "partial 16S ribosomal RNA". It matches the Rfam family "Bacterial small subunit ribosomal RNA", at positions 524 to 776 of the family's 1533-position model. The record is from RNAcentral.